This 334-nucleotide unclassified non-coding RNA is filed under the name soil metagenome. RNAcentral describes it as "partial contains 5.8S ribosomal RNA, internal transcribed spacer 2, and large subunit ribosomal RNA". The stretch from base 1 to 120 matches the Rfam family "5.8S ribosomal RNA", at positions 35 to 154 of the family's 154-position model. The record is from RNAcentral.
GAUGAAGAACGCAGCGAAAUGCGAUAAGUAAUGUGAAUUGCAGAAUUCAGUGAAUCAUCGAAUCUUUGAACGCACAUUGCGCCCGCCAGUAUUCUGGCGGGCAUGCCUGUCCGAGCGUCAUUUCAACCAUCAAGCCCCGGGCUUGUGUUGGGGACCUGCGUCCGACGCAGGCCCCGAAAACCAGUGGCGGGCUCGCUGUCCACACCGAGCGUAGUAGCUAACCUCGCUCCGGAGUGGCGCGGGCGCCUGCCGUAAAACCCCCCCAAUUUUACAAGGUUGACCUCGGAUCAGGUAGGAAUACCCGCUGAACUUAAGCAUAUCAAUAAGCGGAGGA